CUUUUUCUUCCCCUCAGCGAAUUUCAUGCAUUCUACUCCCCUCUUUUCUUGCUAUAGCUUUAUUAACUAGUUUAAAAUCACACAACACCCCCCCCCCCACAUGCAAAAAAUAAAAAAAUGAUUCUUUUAUUCCUUUUUACAAUUUUUAUUUUCAAUCUACUCAUUUGUUUUUGUUCCUACGAAUCCUUUUUGUUUUUACUGAGGUUAAGAAAGGCGAAAUGGAUUCACAGCCAAAAAAUGUUGGAAUUCUAGCCAUGGAAAUUUACUUCCCUCUCACUUGCAUCCAGUAGGUAAAAUCUUGUUUUACACAUCGAAAACACUAAUAUAAAUGUUUGAAUGUACCCAGG
RNAcentral lists this long non-coding RNA (347 nucleotides) under Olea europaea subsp. europaea. Lineage: Eukaryota; Viridiplantae; Streptophyta; Magnoliopsida; Lamiales; Oleaceae. The record is from RNAcentral.